GAUGAACGCUGGCGGCGUGCCUAAUACAUGCAAGUCGAGCGAACAGAUGAGGAGCUUGCUCCUCUGACGUUAGCGGCGGACGGGUGAGUAACACGUGGAUAACCUACCUAUAAGACUGGGAUAACUUCGGGAAACCGGAGCUAAUACCGGAUAAUAUAUUGAACCGCAUGGUUCAAUAGUGAAAGACGGUUUUGCUGUCACUUAUAGAUGGAUCCGCGCCGCAUUAGCUAGUUGGUAAGGUAACGGCUUACCAAGGCAACGAUGCGUAGCCGACCUGAGAGGGUGAUCGGCCACACUGGAACUGAGACACGGUCCAGACUCCUACGGGAGGCAGCAGUAGGGAAUCUUCCGCAAUGGGCGAAAGCCUGACGGAGCAACGCCGCGUGAGUGAUGAAGGUCUUCGGAUCGUAAAACUCUGUUAUUAGGGAAGAACAAAUGUGUAAGUAACUAUGCACGUCUUGACGGGACCUAAUCAGAAAACCACGGCUAACUACGU
This 496-nucleotide ribosomal RNA is filed under the name uncultured bacterium. Its description in RNAcentral is "partial 16S ribosomal RNA". It matches the Rfam family "Bacterial small subunit ribosomal RNA", at positions 28 to 506 of the family's 1533-position model. The record is from RNAcentral.